This 465-nucleotide ribosomal RNA is filed under the name uncultured bacterium. RNAcentral's name for it is "partial 16S ribosomal RNA". It matches the Rfam family "Bacterial small subunit ribosomal RNA", at positions 28 to 507 of the family's 1533-position model. The record is from RNAcentral.
GACGAACGCUGGCGGCGUGCUUAACACAUGCAAGUCGAACGGAAAGGCCCUGCUUGCAGGGUACUCGAGUGGCGAACGGGCGAGUAACACGUGGGUGAUCUGCCCUGCACUUCGGGAUAAGCCUGGGAAACUGGGUCUAAUACCGGAUAGGAGCCAUUUUUAGUGUGAUGGUUGGAAAGUUUUUUCGGUGUAGGAUGAGCUCGCGGCCUAUCAGCUUGUUGGUGGGGUAAUGGCCUACCAAGGCGGCGACGGGUAGCCGGCCUGAGAGGGUGGACGGCCACAUUGGGACUGAGAUACGGCCCAGACUCCUACGGGAGGCAGCAGUGGGGAAUAUUGCACAAUGGGCGCAAGCCUGAUGCAGCGACGCCGCGUGGGGGAUGACGGCCUUCGGGUUGUAAACUCCUUUCGCUAGGGACGAAGCUUUUUGUGACGGUACCUAGAUAAGAAGCACCGGCUAACUACGUG